Molecule: transfer RNA, 79 nt
Filed under: Candidatus Bathyarchaeota archaeon
Lineage: Archaea; Thermoproteati; Candidatus Bathyarchaeota
Description: tRNA-Met
Source: RNAcentral
AGCGGGGUGGGGUAGCCAGGUUUAACCCGCAGGGCUCAUAACCCUGAGAUUGGUCGAAGCUCUCGAUCCUCAAGCGGUG